This 110-nucleotide non-coding RNA is filed under the name Hyphomonas sp. RNAcentral describes it as "TPP sequence". It matches the Rfam family "TPP riboswitch aptamer (THI element)". From Rfam's summary of the family: Vitamin B(1) in its active form thiamin pyrophosphate (TPP) is an essential coenzyme that is synthesised by coupling of pyrimidine and thiazole moieties in bacteria. The previously detected thiamin-regulatory element, thi box was extended, resulting in a new, highly conserved RNA secondary structure, the THI element, which is widely distributed in eubacteria and also occurs in some archaea. Lineage: Bacteria; Pseudomonadati; Pseudomonadota; Alphaproteobacteria; Hyphomonadales; Hyphomonadaceae. The record is from RNAcentral.
GGGGCAUCCGAGGGGCGCGUCUGGAAGCGCUGAGAUGGAGCUGACCCGCUCCAGCACCCUUUGAACCUGAUCCGGUUUGCGCCGGCGUAGGGACGGAACGACGGCAUGGG